This 89-nucleotide ribosomal RNA is filed under the name Anopheles litoralis. RNAcentral describes it as "partial 5.8S ribosomal RNA". The record is from RNAcentral. Lineage: Eukaryota; Metazoa; Arthropoda; Insecta; Diptera; Culicidae. RNAcentral also lists the same sequence under 2 other names.
UGUGAACUGCAGGACACAUGAACACCGAUAAGUUGAACGCAUAUGGCGCAUCGGACGUUUCAACCCGACCGAUGCACACAUCCUUGAGU